CAACAACAUAUUUUGAGAGAGACAGAGAGAGAGAGAGAGAGAGAGAUGAAGAGAUAGAAAGAGACUAUAGUCACAUAACUUUGAUUACAGUAUAUUGUUUUAAUUGUCCUAUUUUAUUAUUAGUUAUUGUUAUUAACCCUUACUGUGCCAAAUUUAAAAAUUAAAAUUUAUCAUAGGUAUACAUGUAUUAUGUUUGAAAAAUUCAGUAUGGAAAGGAUUUGGUACUUUUUGUAUUUCCAGGCAUCCAUUGCAGGUUUUAGAAUAUAUCAUCCAUGGAUAAGUGUGGAUUAUUAUACUAUUAUUUGAGCUUAUUCUCCUCCAUCAUAUCACAAAAGAACAUCUGAUACUUUGAAGAAAUCUAGAAAUAUUUAAAUUUCUGCAGCACUCCCAUCAACAACAGUUUAAAUACUCUUUUAGAAAAGAAAAGAAAGAAUAGGAGUGCUAGAUUGCUUUUUAAUAAUUCCACAAAGAAAGCAAAAUGUAAAUCUUUGUGUUUCUAAGAUAUGCAAACCAUCUGUUUGUAUAUUAGGUUUUUUUUUCCCAGAAGCAUUCAUUUGUAGGAUGAUAUUCGUGAUCAAAAUAUAUGGUAUUUUGAGCUCUUUGAGCAUAAUGAAUAUAUCCUUGCUAGUGAAUUUCCUUUGGGGACUAAAAGGAACACUUUAGGAAGCCUUACUAAUUCUCAAGGUCUGUUGGAGCACUACUCUUGAAAUUGCUUCUAAGAUGUUCAGGAAUAAAGAACCUUAAUGACUUUGAGUAGUAAUUCACAGAAUGGUACCUCAGUGAUCCCUGGGUGUUUGACUUGCAGACAGGGCAGACCUCACUGUCUAAGAAUCAAGCAUCAGGAUUUCUAGACCAGAUUGUCAUUAACUGGCUGUGUGACUCUGGGCAUACCAUUAAUUUUCCUAGUUCUCAGGUUCUACAUCUGAAAAAUAGGAUGAUUAGAUCACAUUAUCCCCAAAAGUCCCUUCCUGCUCUAAAAAGUCAUGAUUCAAACAAGAGACUCAAUCUCAAUAGACAGCAAAAUUGAAAGAUUACCUGACAAUGCUGUAUGCAUGUGAAUGUGUG
RNAcentral lists this long non-coding RNA (1065 nucleotides) under Marmota monax (woodchuck). Lineage: Eukaryota; Metazoa; Chordata; Mammalia; Rodentia; Sciuridae. The record is from RNAcentral.